UACGGAAGGCAGCAGUGGGGAAUAUUGCACAAUGGGCGCAAGCCUGAUGCAGCCAUGCCGCGUGUAUGAAGAAGGCCUUCGGGUUGUAAAGUACUUUCAGUCGUGAGGAAGGUGUUAAGGUUAAUAACCUUAGCAAUUGACGUUAGCGACAGAAGAAGCACCGGCUAACUCCGUGCCAGCAGCCGCGGUAAUACGGAGGGUGCGAGCGUUAAUCGGAAUUACUGGGCUAAAGGGCACGCAGGCGGUUAAUUAAGUUGGAUGUGAAAUCCCCGGGCUUAACCUGGGAAUGGCAUUCAAGACUGGUUAGCUAGAGUCUUGUAGAGGGGGUAGAAUUCCAUGUGUAGCGGUGAAAUGCGUAGAGAUGUGGAGGAAUACCGGUGGCGAAGGCGGCCCCUGGACAAAGGACUGACGCUCAUGUGCGAAAGCGUGGGGAGCAAAC
This 439-nucleotide ribosomal RNA is filed under the name uncultured bacterium. Its description in RNAcentral is "bacterial SSU rRNA". It matches the Rfam family "Bacterial small subunit ribosomal RNA", at positions 340 to 773 of the family's 1533-position model. The record is from RNAcentral.